RNAcentral lists this ribosomal RNA (253 nucleotides) under uncultured bacterium. Its description in RNAcentral is "partial 16S ribosomal RNA". It matches the Rfam family "Bacterial small subunit ribosomal RNA", at positions 524 to 776 of the family's 1533-position model. The record is from RNAcentral.
UACGUAGGGUGCGAGCGUUAAUCGGAAUUACUGGGCGUAAAGCGUGCGCAGGCGGUUCGUUGUGUCGGUGGUGAAAUCCCCGGGCUUAACCUGGGAAUGGCCAUGGAAACUGGCGAACUGGAGUGUGGCAGAGGGGGGUGGAAUUCCGGGUGGAGUGGUGAAAUGCGUAGAGAUCCGGAGGAACACCAGAGGCGAAGGCGGCCUACUGGGCUGCACCUGACGCUGAGCCGCGAAAGCCAGGGGAGCGAACGGG